AGUUGGAAUUGAGUGAAACUAGUAUGGUUGGACUCAAAAUUGAAUGGGUUAUCAGAUAUUAUGAGUUUUGUCGGGUUCCGAGGCGCGGGCCUGGGUGCGAUUUUUUGCCGAAUUUGGGAUGUGAUUUAAGAUUCGAUCUCUAUCAUUUGGAAUUGUUUCCUUGGGCUUUAUUUGAAGUAUUUGAGUUUCUUUUGGCUAGUUUUUAGCCGUUCGAAGGUCAGUAUGCGCGUGAUGGCAUUUUUGGAGCAUCGCUUGGCUUGCUCAGUAUUGUAAUCUGCUUAUUCAAGAUUUUGGGGUAGAGCUGCUGGUGACGUCAAGUGUUGAUUCGGAAGAUGUUCGUGCGUUUGGUUAUAACUGCCACUUAUCCUUGGUAGUUUAGAUUAUUGCUAAUCUGUUUAUGUAACCUUCAAACAGAAUGUGUAUUUAUUUGUAUUAGUUUUGAAAUUCCAAAUCUUAGAAGCUCGUGAUUUGUACUACCAGGUCUUUGUAAAUUCGUAAACGCUCAAUUAUCUAUUUCCUUUUAUUUUAUAACCUCA
This is a non-coding RNA of Nicotiana tabacum (common tobacco), 536 nucleotides long. Lineage: Eukaryota; Viridiplantae; Streptophyta; Magnoliopsida; Solanales; Solanaceae. The record is from RefSeq and is a predicted model, not a curated record.